This 3108-nucleotide ribosomal RNA is filed under the name marine metagenome. RNAcentral's name for it is "bacterial LSU rRNA". It matches the Rfam family "Bacterial large subunit ribosomal RNA". The record is from RNAcentral.
CUAAGAGCAUAUGGUGGAUGGCAAGACAGAACGUGCCGAUGAAGGACGUAGUAACCUGCGAUAAGCUUCGGGGAGGUGGUAAACAACCUUUGAUCCGGAGAUUUCCGAAUGGGGAAACCCAAUACGAGUAAUGUCGUAUUACCCUUUGUGAGUAAUUGCAUAGGGUGGGCACCUGGUGAAGUGAAACAUCUCAGUAACCAGAGGAAAAGAAAAAGAAAUUUUCGCUUUACGUUUUCACACACAAGCACGUUGUGUGGAAACGAAAAGCGAAUCUAUUCCCUAAGUAGCGGCGAGCGAAAAGGGAUCAGCCCAAACCUCUACUGUGAAGUUAUUGCGAGCAUGGAGAUACUUGUAUCUGUGUGCGAGCGGUGACGAAAGCUGGAAGGCGUUGCAGUGGAAGGUGUUGUAAGGUAUCGCGUCCGUCUUCUUCCAAAGGCGGGUGAUGAAAUUUGUAUGUUGUAUAGCAAAAUCUGUUGGAAAGCAGAGCCAAAGAAGGUGAUAGCCCUGUACGCAAAAUGCAUUCAUACCAUCAUGUCGAUAUACCUUGAGUACUACGGGACUCGUGAAAUCCUGUAGGAAUCAGCCGGGACUAUCUGGCAAGGCUAAAUACACGUUCUGAUCGAUAGUGAACAAGUACCGUGAGGGAAAGCUGAAAAGCACCCCGGGAGGGGAAUGAAAUAGUAUCUGAAACCGUAUGCUUACAAGGAGUUAGAGUCCUGCCUUUGGCGGGAUGAUAGCGUUCCUAUUGAAGAAUGAGCCAACGAGUGUGCUGCACGUCGCUGCUUAAGUCCUCCGGGACGAAGGCAAAGUGAAAGCGAGCGUUAACCCGCGUGAUCUAUCUUUAUACUUGGUCCAAGGCUGCAGAGUUCUGCUAGCCGGAUCGAGUAUAAAAAUAGAGGGUGGCGUGCACACGACCCGAAACCGGACGACCUAUCCAUGGCCAGGUUGAAGCAAGUGUAAUAGCUUGUGGAGGACCGAACCCUCGCGCUGUGCAAAACGCUGGGAUGAGCUGUGGAUAGCGGAGAAAUUCCAAUCGAGUUCGGUAAUAGCUGGUUCUCCCCGAGAUAGCUUUAGGGCUAGCGUCGGUUAAUAACAUAUUGGGGGUAGAGCACUGAAUGGGUUUUGCGCCUUCGGGUAGCGGACCUAACCAAACUCCGAAUACCAAUAUGUGUUCCCGGCAGUCAGACUAUGGGGGCUAAGCUCCAUUAGUCGAAAGGGAAACAGCCCAGAUCUCAAGCUAAGGUCCCAAAAUCGUCAUUAAGUGUAAAACGUGGUGAGGAGACACAUACAACCAGGAGGUUGGCUUAGAAGCAGCCAUCCUUUAAAGAUAGCGUAACAGCUCACUGGUCAAGUUUCCUUGCGCGGAAAAUGUACCGGGGCUAAAUGACGUACCGAAGCUGAGGGCUUCGAUGCUUUUGCAUCGGAGCGGUAGGGGAGCAUUCGUAUUGCGCUGAAGCUGGUGGGGUGACCCCUGGUGGAGCGAUGCGAAGGGAGAAUGUUGGCAUGAGUAGCAAAAAGACAGGUGAGAAUCCUGUCCGCCGUAAACCCAAGGUUUCCUGGGCAACGAGAAUCGUCCCAGGGUUAGUCGGGAGCUAAGGCGAGGCCGAAAGGCGUAGUCGAUGCACAGCAGGUUAAUAUUCCUGCACUCUCUAUUACACUGAUGUAGUGACACUUACUGAAAUUUCCCGCGUCCUAUGGCUAUGACGUUGGGGGCAUGUUGGCGUCUGGUAGGCAAAUCCGCCAGACUGAGGUUCGACCUCAAGCCCGUGUGUCAGCUCAAGUUCAACUUACGGGUUGGAUAAGGGGAAAGGACAGUGAGUCAAGAAAAGCUGCUAGGGUUAAUGUAAUAGGGACCCGUACCGCAAACCGACACAGGUGGGUGGGUGCGUAAUGUACCAAGGCGUACGAGAGAACCAUUGUUUAGGAACUCGGCAAAAUAGCGGCCGUAACUUCGGGAUAAGGCCUGGUUGCAUCCGGGAGGAUGUGACCCGCAGCGAAAGACUCCAAGCGACUGUUUAUCAAAAACACAGGUCCCUGCUAAACCGCAAGGUGAUGUAUAGGGGCUGAUGCCUGGCCAGUGUCCGAACGUUAAGGAAGGGGGUUAGUUUCUUCGGAAAUGAAGCCUUCGACUGAAGCGCGGAUGAACGCCGGCGAUAACUAUAAUCGUCCUAAGGUAGCGAAAUUCCUUGACGGGUAAGUUCCGUCCUGCACGAAUGGCAUAACGAUUUGGAGACUCUCUCAACAAUGGACUCGGCGAAAUUGCAAUGUGAGUGAAGAUGCUCACUACUCGCGGCAAGACGAAAAGACCCCGUGAAGCUUUACUAUAGCUUGAUCUUGGGUUCAUGUUUCACAUGUUCAGUAUAGGUGGGAGCCUUCGGGCGCCAGUGAGAUACCACCCUUGUGUUGUGUGAAUUCUAACCAGGCGCCAUGAAUCUGGUGUCAGGGACAGGAUCUGGUGGGUAGUUUACCUGGGGCGGGUGCCUCCCAAAAUGUAACGGAGGCGUUUACAAAGGUUGGCUUAGCGCGGAUGGAAAUCGCGCUGGACGUGCAAACGCAGAAGCCAGCUUUACUGCGAGACCUACCAGUCGAGCAGUUGCGAAAGCAGAAGUUAGUGAUCCGACCGUACGAAAUAGGACGGCGGAAGCUCAUCGGAUAAAAGCUACUCCGGGGAUAACAGGCUAGUCUCCCCCAAGCGUCCACAGCGACGGGGAGGUUCGGCACCUCGAUGUCGGCUCAUCGCAUCCUGGGGCUGGAGAAGGUCCCAAGGGUUAGGCUGUUCGCCUAUUAAAGCGGUACGCGAGCUGGGUUCAGAACGUCGUGAGACAGUUCGGUCUCCUAUCUGCCGUGGGCGUCGAAGAUUGAUGGAACCCAUUCCUAGUACGAGAGGACCGGAAUGGACGAACCUCUAGUGUAUCGGUUGUUCUGCCAAGAGCAUCGCCGAGUAGCUACGUUCGGUACGGAUAAGCGCUGAAAGCAUCUAAGUGCGAAGCCGUUCCAAAGAUAAGUCUUCAUUUGAGACCCCUCAGAGACUAUGAGGUUGAUAGGCUGCAAGUGUAAGCACAGUAAUGUGUUCAGCUGAGCAGUACUAAUAGGUCGAGCUCUACAACC